GACGAACGCUGGCGGCGUGCUUAACACAUGCAAGUCGAACGGAAAGGCCCUGCUUUUGCGGGGUGCUCGAGUGGCGAACGGGUGAGUAACACGUGAGUAACCUGCCCUUGACUUUGGGAUAACUUCAGGAAACUGGGGCUAAUACCGGAUAGGAGCUCCUGCUGCAUGGUGGGGGUUGGAAAGUUUCGGCGGUUGGGGAUGGACUCGCGGCUUAUCAGCUUGUUGGUGGGGUAGUGGCUUACCAAGGCUUUGACGGGUAGCCGGCCUGAGAGGGUGACCGGCCACCUUGGGACUGGGAUUCGGCCCCGACCCCUACGGGAGGCAGAAGUGGGGAAUAUUGCACAAUGGGCGGAAGCCUGAUGCAGCCACGCCGCGUGCGGGAUGACGGCCUUCGGGUUGUAAACCGCUUUCGCCUGUGACGAAGCGUGAGUGACGGUAAUGGGUAAAGAAGCCCCGGCUAACUACGUG
This 468-nucleotide ribosomal RNA is filed under the name uncultured bacterium. Its description in RNAcentral is "partial 16S ribosomal RNA". It matches the Rfam family "Bacterial small subunit ribosomal RNA", at positions 28 to 507 of the family's 1533-position model. The record is from RNAcentral.